This is a long non-coding RNA of Pungitius pungitius (ninespine stickleback), 5100 nucleotides long. RefSeq lists it as uncharacterized. The transcript is spliced from 3 exons. The record is from RefSeq and is a predicted model, not a curated record. NCBI's taxonomy places the organism in Eukaryota, Metazoa, Chordata, Actinopteri, Perciformes, Gasterosteidae.
UUUAAUUCUUUGGGCAUCCUGCAAACAGCAGCACCGCUGUGUGCGUGCCUGUGUGUGUGUGUGCAUGUGUACGUGCGUGCAUGUCUGUGCGUGCACGUGUACGUGCGUAUGUGUGUGUGUGUGUGUUUUGCAGCCGCAGCCGCAGGAAUGUGGAUGUUACUUCCAGUCCAUUGCUCGAGAAUGAGAGCAGAGGUAGAGCUGCGUGCGUGUGUGUGUGUGUGUGUGUGUGUGUGUGAGAGAGAGAUUGUGUGUGAGUGUUGUUUGUGACAGGAAUGGAGGGAGUACCCAUGAUGACGUCCACAAAGAUCAAGGUAGAUUGAGUGGUCUCAGCUGACCCGACUGCUGCGUCGUGUGUUCUACAGAGUCAUGGACGUUCCAGUCCAUCGCCCAUGUUAGGGCUCACGGUGAGAAGAUCCGUCACAAAGCGCUGUGAGGUCAUGAUACAACAAGGACAUGGUUGACUUUGAGAACACCCGGCGCUCUCUGUUUGCUUGUCCCCUGUUGUCUCCCGGCUUGCACAAGUUAAGACAUUUGGUCCUCGGCUUUUAAUUUGAGAGCUCUUAUCUGUGGAAGAAGUGCCGCGCUUUAGAGGCCGUUAUCGACCUUCUUUGCCCCUAAACUGUUGUUCUUAUUAGCCGUCUGACAAACAAUCGACGGCAAAUGGACUCAAGUGUGUGCAGCAUAACUGGAGUGGGAGCAGGAAUUCUUUGCCUCUCAUUUUGAAUUGAGAUUUAUCUACUUUAUAUUCACCAUAUCCUCGUCUACAUCCUAUUAUCUUUCUUUCUUUCCUCCACACCCGUGUGCCUCUGUGGAUCCACGUAAGCUGCAGGCCGCUCUUCUCUCUCUCAUAAUUCCAAGACGCCGACAAUAAUGUGGAUGAAACAUUAUGCCAAAGCUACACUAUUGAAUACAUUUUUGUAUGGGAAACAGAUGAAUAGUUACAAGAGGACAGAUAUUUUGAACACUAACGCAGCAAUUCUCCCUCCUCCAAUUCUGAUCUGAACUACUGCUACUACCGCUGCUUUCAUUGUUCCACUUUAGUGGUUGCUAGGUUACCACAAGCAUAUAACACAUUUCUGUCCAAUAAUAUUGCACUGCUGUUUUCAACCACAUAGUAUUUCUUUUGCCACUGUUUUUUGCCAUGAUUUCCUUCAUUUCUCAGAGUAGCAUUUUAUAAUCGACAAUUAUCCAUAUUGUCUCAAAUGCGUGCACUACAAAAUGGAUCAUUAGCGAAACAAACAUAAUUGUUUUUUUUUGUGUCAUGUGUGGAAAUAAGACGACAUCUUUUCUGUUAUGCUAACCAUCCUGUUUUGGGCAUGCCCAUUAAUGAGGGAAAUAAGCAUAGACAGUAAAUGAAAUGUAAAAUAAGGAAACUUGUAAAGAAAAUCCAAGGACAGCAAACAUUUGAAACAUAUAAGACCAACGUGAGCAAUGUCAUUAGCAGCUGCUUUAUGAUUAAUUUAGUUAACUGAUGCCACCUCAGGGUACGACUUGCUGUAUUUUUGUUAAUCCACGUGUCCUGUCUCUAGACUAUUUCAUUCCAGUGGUCCGGACUGUAAAAAACAUUCUUCACUGUGUAUAUAAAGGUACCGGCUCUCUUUCCUCCACAUAGAACAUGCAAAGACUUAUUGAGUACAUUGCAUGCACAUGCAUAGUGUUUAUUUAAAAUCGGGGCCCUGUGUAAUCAUCUGAGCACUUGUGACCGUGCUGUGGUACUGCUGGACACUGUGUGAGAAUUGGUAGGGAAGGCAUGCUUUUGAAAGGAAACAUCAGAGGAUUUGAUGGAGGUAGUGCUUAAACAAGACAAUCAACCGUACGAAAUCCAGACCAAAAAUAUGGAUGCCUGUCUCAAAAAGUCAUAUUACUGUUGUUUAAUUUCGUGGUACAUUAACUUGCACAAAACAAUGCUUAUUAUUAUACGCCUAUAUGCUUAUUAAUCAGAUCUUAGUUUGAGGGAUUUGUGUCUUAAUGUCACCCUCUCACACAUUUACAAGCCUUAACUACGUCCCAUCUUCCUGGUAAACAGUCCCACUGAAGCCCUCUCUCAACAAGAACCUAAAUUAUAAUGUUACUUCUGUUGAAACACUGCUUAAGUAAACACAGCAGGAGCUCUUGCAUGAAAUGAACACUGACGUGACAAACCCGAGUUGAUGACUUAUUUCUACACAGGGACUUUGAACAGGGAACACAACACAAAGCUGACAGAGGGAGGAGACAGGCGGCAGAGAAUAGAGGGAUCUUCAAGAUAAACGACGGGAUUUCGGCGACACUCGCGGAGGCUUUGUCGCCUAGCGGUGCCCACAGGUGCCUUUGAUUGAGCAGCUGCUGUAUCAAUUCAGGAGCCACAGUGGCUAUUUGUAGCUUUAGAGGUACCUCCCACAAUACAUCUCCUGACACAGAUAGAGAGGAAGGCACACGUACAUGUGACACAACCCUCUCACGUCGCGCUUUGCUGCUGUUUCCCUGUAGGAAGAAUCAGGCGCCUUUAGGGCCACGAUACACGGACAUUAAUUUCAGGCACUGGGGAUUUACAUGGGCACUACUUCCUGCAACACGCUGGGAAAAAAAGACCAAAUUACCAUCAUUGGGUGACGAGUUACAAAUACAACAUCAAUAGAUGCUCUAGGCCUCGGGCGUUGGAUCAAGGAAGUAUUAUUGGUGGAGACCAACGCCUUGUGCACCGCUGUAGUUCUGUGUCUCAGAGAAAUUGGUGAAUGCGUUUGCAAAAAAACAGCCAUUUAUUCUCAGACCAAUAUUGAACAUAGCAGUCAAACAGUGCAGUCAGUCAAUCAAGGAAUGAGUCAAUCAAUACAGUGAUCAAUGGGUCAGAAUUCUGUACUGUCCCAGACAUCUGAAUCAAAUCUUCUGUCUUCUCUCUUUGUUCAGACACUCAAUUGACAAAAGUAAAACCAAAUGGAAAUACGUUCUGAUUGUCCGGAUUUGCCUCUGCUGAUCUCAUGUUAAAAUGAUAAUAGUUAAACAAGGUCAACAAUCACGUUCCCCAUACAGGUCUGGAGCAUUUUAUUGGUUGCAACCCUUCCCCAAACAGUCCUCAGAAUGGCUUAUUAAUCAUUAUUCUAUUUUCAUCCCACUCAAGUAUCUGGCAUGUCAACGCCUUUUCAGCCUCUGGAUGCAUGUACAUUCAAUCAAUGCUCAUCACCUGUAUAAUACUAUAUCUGUUUCCUUUGCACUGCACUACAGCAGAUUCCCCAAACUGUUCUUUAUAGUUUGAUGAAACACCUAUCUCUGCAACACUUUAUUAUCUUCUAUCUCGGCAUUGCUCUCACCUUUUCUAGUUGCUUUUCACAUUUCUUUCUCGCACCUCUCAGCUCCCUCCAUUACCACAAUGUUCUCACCCUCUUUUCUCUCUCAAUCAUUAGUCUCCUUUGUCUCUCAACUGCACCACUAGUUUUCCUUGGCCUCACCCUGCUCCUUUUCCCACCCACCUUAAUCUCCUCCUAUCUUGUGCUCUAUAAGUUAAUGCUCAAUGCGUUUUAUCUCCUUUCCUUUUCCUACUCAUUUACAUCUCGUACAACCUUACAUUACUUGCUCCCAUCCACCCCACCGCCCCCCGCCCCAUUUCCAUCUGACAUCAGCCAUUUACUGCCCAAUCGCAAUCCUCCCCUCCCCCUCUAACGCUGUGAGAAAUACCAAUAAGUACUGUGCCUGUUUGUAGCCGGUGCACCACUAUACGCUCCUGCAACCUGCAAGAGUGCACCAACUGAACCGAGCUGGCCCGCACCACGCAGAGAAUCAUUGGCUUCACAGCUGACGACUGCCUACACACGCUGCACAGCGCGGGUGUGUGUGGGUGACAUUUUAGAAAUGAACUCCAAACCAAAUCCAGAAUAAAUCAAAUGUAGGCAUCCACCGCAUUGCCAAUGUGAGUCAAAAACAAAGGUUUUAGUUUGCUCGAAACAAUAGUUUGGACAGUGAGUAAUAUGUGGGUGAUGUGAAUUAAAAUCAGGCUGAUAGUUGAAGAGUUUGUCUUAUACUGAUAGACACCCCUCGGGAUAUACCUGUUGUAUCCAGUGACAAUCCAUCAGGUUGACAAAUAACAGCUGAUGAGGCAGAAUUCCCAGCCCAUGUAAAUAAAUGCAUGUGAGCCCACAACUCCACUGAUUUAUGAUCCCUUUGUUUUAACUUUCAUUACAUCCGAUUCGAUAACAAUCACAGGUCAUUUGAUGUCAGUCAUAAUCCAUCAUAUCACUUACACAGAGCUUAAAUACCUAACGUGAUGCCCUUUUUAAAUUACAUUUCAUAAAAUAUUAUAUUUUUUUAAGUAUUUUUUUGAUUACCGGUUACUGAUGAGACGCACGUAUGUGAGUGUCUGUUUAGUGCUUGAGAGAGAGAGAGAGAGAAUGCAUAGGCCUGCUGCUAUUCCGAACUGGACAAUUACAUGCAGAACGUCUCCUCGCUUCUCUCUCCUGUCUAUUGCUGAGCUUCAACAUGUUUUAUAAUUCAGAUACUGUGCUGUAAUUUCCACGUCGGUCCACCCGUUUAAUCACUUCAGACGAUGUGUCAGACUUCUCGCCCAUUAAGUACUACAAGCUUCCUACACGAAGAGCAGUCAUCGCUAUCCAUCCCUCUAUGGCUGCUUUCUUACAUUCUGAGUUAUGUCUCCUGAAGACUCUGUUUGCUUUUAUAUAUUUUAAAUAUCAUAUGAACCACUUACAAUAAACUUGGUUUAUGGAUGUCCUUGCUUUUGUCUUUUAUUGGUCCUUGUUUUCAUAUCUGUUUGUGUGUCUUUUGUUAAAGUCUUUUUGUUAAAGUGCUAUACAAACAAAUCUUACUUGAGGUGACUGACUGGCAAAUAAUAUGAUGGGUUGGAUAAGAGAGGGUCACAAUGAUGGAGGCUUUCAGACCGUGUUAUGCAGGUUGAUGGAAAUUUGAAUUGUAACAUUCAUGUAUUGAAUGAGAUCUCAUGUCAUGAUGUCCACCGGUAAUGCCCAGCAAUGGAUGGAGCGCUUUUUCAAAUUAUUAAUAAUAAAAUUGGCUGAAUAGAGAGGGUUCUACUGAAGAUGGCUGUAUGUAGAAAUCUUGUUCAUCUGUGUGUGUGUGUGUGUGUGUUUUACUGCAAUACGAAAAUGUUAUUCUCAG